Hordeum vulgare subsp. vulgare (domesticated barley) is the source of this 1235-nucleotide long non-coding RNA. RefSeq lists it as uncharacterized. The transcript has 2 exons. Lineage: Eukaryota; Viridiplantae; Streptophyta; Magnoliopsida; Poales; Poaceae. The record is from RefSeq and is a predicted model, not a curated record.
GCCAAAUUUCGUCGCACUCGGAGUUUAUUUGAUACCCGAACCAUUAUAUAUAUAGCGGCACUAUGGCCGGUUAAAUUGUGAGGCGUUUUCGGUGUUCAAAAUCUUGUCAUGACCACAAACUCCCUCUCUUCUCAUCCCACUACCACUGUACACAACCCACAACCCACCUAACCUAACCCAUGAUCAAAGCCGUUCAAAAUCUUGUCAUGAUCGAACGGUUCGAGUCAGGCUAAAAAUAGCUAACCCUGGCCUCAUUUUUCUAUGAAUAGACCCCAAACCUACCUAAUUUGGACCCUAACCAUAAUUCCCCUCGAUCCCCGCACCCACCAGCCUCAGUCGUCACCAACCAGAGCCCCUUCUCCCACCCCCACGGCCUUGGAGGUCCAGAUCGGGCCCGUCGAGCCCAUCUGGGCCAGGACGCGUCCGCCGCCGCCCGCAGAUGCUCCCGUGCCCGCAGCUGCUCCCGUGCCCGCAUUCGCUCGAGGGGAGAAGCGCCGAGCAUCCAGCCCCGCGCCCCGUGGGGCCCCUUCGUCGCCCGGACACCGUCUCCAUGGAAGCUCUGUAGUUCACCGUCGUGCCUUGGAGUUGCUCCCCAGCCACCGGAAUGGAUGGAUCCGGGAGGUCCCUUCGCAGAUCCGGCCCUACCCAGCUCCCUCAUCUUGCCGGAGGAGCCUGCCGCGCGCGUCGCCGUGUUGCCGCCGUCGCCCACCUGCUGCUCGUGUCGGGUUGGAGCCAGGGACGACGAGUGCCGCACCCCGUUCGCCUCCUGGGCCACUUGCCCCGACCUGGUGCAGCCACGGCCACUCUCAGCGCGAGGCCCCGAGCCGGCCCAGCUCCUGUCGCCAGUAGGCCAGCGCGCCUGAGGCCUGUAUCGCCCCCUUCGGCCUAGUCCGCCUCUAACAGCGACGUCCCCAAGGCCGAGAAGGUGAUUGCCCCUCGUGUGCCUAUCCAGCGCAUGUGGGCGUAGUAUAAUAUUCAACCCUCACCCAUACCACACUGUCUAGCCACUAGGUUCUUCCUAGAUGUGUCUUUUCCGCCCUCGACGAUUUUAGGAUUUAUCCCGUGAAUUACAACUUUACAAAAAAAACCCUCCAAACUCAUGCAUUUAAUAACUUGAGAACCGUGCAUCAAAUGCAAAUAAUUUAUAUAUGAAAAAGGACUAGAAUUUCGUUUAGAUUGAUAAUGUCAACCUUUCAUGCGUGUUAAAAAAUAUUUAGAUGUGCUGUUUAAUUAAA